CAUGGCUCCGAGCGUGCGCGGGGCUCCGGCCGCCGGAAGUGCGGCGGCUGGCUCCCGGGCGUGGCAGGGGCCAACUCACCCAACCAGCCACCCAACGGCCCGCUCUUCCUCUUUAACUUAGGGGAGCGGAGGGCGGGGCGUGAAGGCAGCGGGGGCGUCGGUCUUUUCGUCCGGUAAAAUCCUAGGCCCUCCUCGGGCGCCGGAGCCACUUCCGGAGCAAAUGUCAAGCUUCGAGAGGGCGGCUGGAGAGGCGCGCGCGGCGCCGGCGGCUCGGCGGCCUGGGGAGGACCAGGAGGCCUGGGAGGGCGGGUCCGCGGCUACAGCUCACGGCCCUCAGCCCCCUCAGCCCAGGUGGCCACGCGCUACUAAUGAGGAUUCGCUGGCUUUUUUCCCGACUCGCGUCGGCCGACCAAAUUCUGUGCUCUCUGUUCCCUAGUAGUUCUACCUCGCGCAGAAGACUUAAGCCGUCAGUAGGAGUCACCGAAGUUAGAAGUUACUUGAAGUUACUUUGUAUUCACCUCAGAAAGAAAGUACCCCCAGGCCAGUGGUGUGUUGAAGGUGACUUGAACAGUCUCAUUAAAAUUGACUCUUCCUCAGGAAGGACUUAUUCUUGACUUCUUAUCCCUGGGACAAUGCACCAAAGUGAGAUGCUGGAUAAAACCCCUGGAGAAAAUUACAUGGUCCAGUGCCAUCAUCAAAUGUAGGAUUUCAUGGAUGUUAUAAUGCAUUCCUAAGAAGGUUCUGCUAUAUUGUUCUCAUUACAGAGUGCUGGAUCAGUCUUUUUCAACAUUACUUUCAUUGAAUUCAGAGUUAAAGACUCCCGUAAGAUUUGUUAUGUAAAGACACCUGGAUUGGUUGAUCCAAGCUGUUAGAUAAAGAUUCUGGUAAUGAGUGGCGUCUGUUGUACUGGAUAAGAAGGAUUCUUUACAGAAUUCUGUUUAACAAAGCUUAUUUUUGCCUUGGUAUGCCAUGAGUAAUAAAAAGCACCAUUUAUAAAUACUUACAAAUGCCCAAUACAAAUUUUAAGGCACCAACAUGUACAUAAAGAAACAAAUCCACUUCUGUAGUUGUGGCAUUACUAUAGGCCAUACUUUCUUUACUUUUGUAUAAAACCAUUUAGGAUUAGACACUAACCCAAAUGCCUUAAGAGUCUUGGAAAGGAAAGCUACAAUAGAUUAACAGUAACACUGUCUCUGUAUGAGUUACUAAAUCCCUGAGCAGGUGAAGUCUGAGUUAAGUCUUGAGGGGCAGAUGGGAGUUGGCCCAGAACUGAGGUAGGAGAGGACAGGACAUUGCACGUGCUGGGUGUCCAGGCAUCAUCCUCCAUGCCAGAGGACAGCAUGGGGGUCACUCAAAUUCAGGGAACUACCAACAGUUUCUGUGAGGUUUGGGCAUUAUUGGGACAGGGGUGUAGGGAGAGAUGAGGCUGGAGAAGCAGGUGGGGCCUUCAAGAUCCUGAAGGAUCAUUACCACCCAUACUAAUAUGCUGGGGGUUUACUCUGGGCAGCGGGAGCCAAGGAGGACUGUUAUGUCCUCUGAGGGUCAUUAUCUGAUCGAUAUUUCGGAAAGAUCAUGAUGGAGACUAUUAAAAUUGUAUUGCAAUCAGGAAUAUACUUUAGACUCAUGGGGGUGGGUGGGAGUGAAGGGAUUUGGUAAUGGAUGAGACCUGGGGCAUGGAGAGAGGAGGAGUCAGGGUGUCACUCGGUUUCUGAGCUUGGAUGGGGGAUGGUGGAAGGUACUCUUUGAAGUGGGAAAAGAAGUGUUUGGGGGCAGAGGGAAGAAAGGUGAGCUCUGUUUUAGAGAUACCUAUGGAGAUGUCCAGUGUGCAAAUAGAGAAGUCAGGAAUUUGAGAGAGAGACCUGAAAAUGUCUUUUGAUUUAAUGACACAGAACACAUUAGCGACCUUAACAAAUACUGCUUAUGUGAAGUGAGGCUGGAGGCCAGACUGGAGGUUGCAGAGGGAUGAGUGGCAUGUGGACAAAUUCAUACAAACAGAAAUAGAAUGACUGAAGAGGGGAGAGGGCAGCAGCCAGGGGUGAAGAAAGGAUUGUUUGUUUUUUGAAAUAAGGAUCUUUCUUUGUUUUUUUUUAAAUUAAAUACAGAGAAAAUAUCAAUUGUACAUGCUGAGAAAAUUUAACAACACAGAAGUUAUAAAAAUAAAAGUAAAAACUUGUCAGCCUGCUUUUUAACCAGACUCUUCAGCUGUGGGCCUGGCAUCUACCAUUAAGCACUCUCCACUUCUGGCCCAUUUCUGUUUAAACCUGUUCAAGCCUCUUUCACCCAAAACAACAAUCAAUAAUUAUAGUAGAAACCCUCACUCCUAUACUACUAACCCAUUGCUAUCCCUUCUCUUUCUACCAUGGCCAAAGUUUUCAAGAAGAAAAAACAAACACAUUUUUCAACUCUUUAUGUUCAAGCCCCAGGUACUGUUUGAAUUGUCAUCCACAACUACUAAAUUUAGUAGAUAUUUGUCAAGCCUUGUCUUAUUUAAUCUCUUCACAGCAUUUAAUAGUAUUGAUUACUUUCCUUUAAACUUCCUUUUCUCUUGGUUUCCUCAGCAUCAACUCAUCCAAGUUUAAUUCCUGUAUCUCUGGAAAUUUGCUUCUUUGUGGAAUCAUUUACUUUCUUAUUGAAUUUUGUGACAUCUGUCCUCUGCCCUCUUUUCUUUUCAUGUGGCAUGAUCUGGCAGCCUUAGUUAUUCUUUAACUACAUUGUGGAACAAAAUUUGGGUUCAAAUCAGACUCUGUCCCUUCCUGACUGAAUGUUUGGUUUUUUGAAACAAUGACCAGUUCUCCAAUUUUCCGAUACCAACUGGGUGUUCUAUAAUUUAUUUUUUUUAAUUUAUUUUUAUUUUUUUGUGGUACGCGGGCCUCUCACUAUUGUGGCCU
Non-coding RNA from Delphinapterus leucas (beluga whale), 2888 nucleotides. The record is from RefSeq and is a predicted model, not a curated record. NCBI's taxonomy places the organism in Eukaryota, Metazoa, Chordata, Mammalia, Artiodactyla, Monodontidae.